CAUUCUCUCUUGCCUGCCGCCAUGUAAGACAUGUCUUUGCUCCUGCUUCACCUUCUGCCAUGAUCAUGAGGCAUCCCCAGCCAUGUGGAACUGGUCUCACUUCACCCAGGCUGGAAUGCAGUGGUGUGAUCACAGCUCACUAUAGUCUCGAUCUCCUGGGCCUCCCACAUCAGCCUUUUACAGAAUCAAGAAGCCUGUUCAAGGCGAUGCAGCAGAGGAAGCUGGGUCUGCCACAGUCCAGGUCUUCCAAGGUCCUAUCCUUCCCACAGCUGCUGCACACAUUCUAAAAUUAAACUUCUUUCGUGGCAAUUUUCCCCCAGGAGGGAUUUCCCUGCAGUGGACCUCCUCCCCAGUGGUACCUUCAGCCAUCAGAACACCUCGCUUUAGAUCUGUGGGUCCCAAAUUUCAUCAAAUCCAAUGACCAUUUCUAUGCUGGAAUUCUGUGAAGCACAUGACCUCAAGUCUUUGGAUAAAUGGAAACGCAGCUUAUGCCGGAAAGAUGGAAGGCUGGCUGUACUAAUAUCAGAAAUGGAAGAGGAGAGACAUCACUAGAGAUCCCAUGGAUAUUGAAAGGAUAAUAAAGGAGUAUUAUGAGCAUUGUUA
This 603-nucleotide long non-coding RNA is filed under the name Homo sapiens (human). RNAcentral describes it as "long intergenic non-protein coding RNA 1033". Lineage: Eukaryota; Metazoa; Chordata; Mammalia; Primates; Hominidae. The record is from RNAcentral.